This 305-nucleotide ribosomal RNA is filed under the name uncultured bacterium. Its description in RNAcentral is "bacterial SSU rRNA". It matches the Rfam family "Bacterial small subunit ribosomal RNA", at positions 338 to 640 of the family's 1533-position model. The record is from RNAcentral.
CCUACGGGGGGCAGCAGUGAGGAAUAUUGGUCAAUGGGCUUACGCCUGAACCAGCCAAGUCGCGUGAGGGAAGACUGCCCUAUGGGUUGUAAACCUCUUUUGUCAGGGAGCAACGCCGGCUACGUGUAGCCGGACUGAGAGUACCUGAAGAAAAAGCAUCGGCUAACUCCGUGCCAGCAGCCGCGGUAAUACGGAGGAUGCGAGCGUUAUCCGGAUUUAUUGGGUUUAAAGGGUGCGUAGGCUGAAUGUCAAGUCAGCGGUAAAAAUUCCGGGCUCAACCCGGUCGUGCCGUUGAAACUGGCGUU